RNAcentral lists this ribosomal RNA (452 nucleotides) under uncultured organism. RNAcentral's name for it is "partial 16S ribosomal RNA". It matches the Rfam family "Bacterial small subunit ribosomal RNA", at positions 330 to 798 of the family's 1533-position model. The record is from RNAcentral.
CGUACACUCCUACGGGAGGCAGCAGUGGGGAAUCUUGCGCAAUGGGCGAAAGCCUGACGCAGCCAUGCCGCGUGAAUGAUGAAGGUCUUAGGAUUGUAAAAUUCUUUCACCGGGGACGAUAAUGACGGUACCCGGAGAAGAAGCCCCGGCUAACUUCGUGCCAGCAGCCGCGGUAAUACGAAGGGGGCUAGCGUUGCUCGGAAUUACUGGGCGUAAAGGGAGCGUAGGCGGACAUUUAAGUCAGGGGUGAAAUCCCGGGGCUCAACCUCGGAAUUGCCUUUGAUACUGGGUGUCUUGAGUAUGAGAGAGGUGUGUGGAACUCCGAGUGUAGAGGUGAAAUUCGUAGAUAUUCGGAAGAACACCAGUGGCGAAGGCGACACACUGGCUCAUUACUGACGCUGAGGCUCGAAAGCGUGGGGAGCAAACAGGAUUAGAAACCCUAGUAGUCCCAU